RNAcentral lists this ribosomal RNA (468 nucleotides) under uncultured bacterium. RNAcentral describes it as "partial 16S ribosomal RNA". It matches the Rfam family "Bacterial small subunit ribosomal RNA", at positions 28 to 507 of the family's 1533-position model. The record is from RNAcentral.
GACGAACGCUGGCGGCGUGCUUAACACAUGCAAGUCGAACGGAAAGGCCCUGCUUUUGUGGGGUGCUCGAGUGGCGAACGGGUGAGUAACACGUGAGUAACCUGCCCUCGACUUUGGGAUAACUUCAGGAAACUGGGGCUAAUACCGGAUAGGAGCUCCUGCUGCAUGGUGGGGGUUGGAAAGUUUCGGCGGUUGGGGAUGGACUCGCGGCUUAUCAGCUUGUUGGUGGGGUAGUGGCUUACCAAGGCUUUGACGGGUAGCCGGCCUGAGAGGGUGACCGGCCACAUUGGGACUGCGAUACGGCCCAGACUCCUACGGGAGGCAGCAGUGGGGAAUAUUGCACAAUGGGCGGAAGCCUGAUGCAGCAACGCCGCGUGCGGGAUGACGGCCUUCGGGUUGUAAACCGCUUUCGCCUGUGACGAAGCGUGAGUGACGGUAAUGGGUAAAGAAGCACCGGCUAACUACGUG